This 368-nucleotide long non-coding RNA is filed under the name Pelobates cultripes (western spadefoot toad). The record is from RNAcentral. Lineage: Eukaryota; Metazoa; Chordata; Amphibia; Anura; Pelobatidae.
UUCAUCUCAAGGGCAGCGCAUUAUACACAGAUAUGGUAACUCUGGACUCAGAAGCGGAGGAUGAACUCCAAUGGUGGCUUCUUCACAUGGAAGCUUGGAAUGAGCGCACCAUAUUUUGUACAGCUCCAGAUUUCAAGUCCGAUGCAAGUUUGCACGGUUGGGGUGCUCAAUGCUGUAAUAUUUCCACCAAGGGCAGAUAAUCAAACCUGGAAUCGACACUCCACAUCAAUUGUUUGGAACAUCUGGCCCAUUCCUUUGCUGUCUGCAGUUUCACCCCAACUCAAGCCCAAUGCGCUAUCCUUCUGAAGAUGGACAACGUGUCAGCAGUCAGUUACAUCAAUCACUUGGAGGCACAAAAUACAAAAUUC